This 188-nucleotide microRNA precursor is filed under the name Oryza nivara. RNAcentral describes it as "MIR812 microRNA precursor family". It matches the Rfam family "MIR812 microRNA precursor family". The record is from Rfam by way of RNAcentral. Lineage: Eukaryota; Viridiplantae; Streptophyta; Magnoliopsida; Poales; Poaceae.
AAUAAGUGCAGCUGUGGAUAUCCGUGCCCAACGUUUGACCGUUCGUCUUAUUUGAAAAAUUUGUGAAAAAUUUAAAAAUAUUUAGUCACACAUAAAGUACUAUUUAUGUUUUAUCAUUUAAUAGUAAUAAAAAUACUAAUAAAAAAAUUUCAAAUAAGACGAACGGAUAGUACAAAACUAUAUUUAUU